GGCAGUAGGGACAAGCAAGAGAUGAGAGUAUAGCUCCCAAGUUCAAGAGCAAGAUCAAGAGAUUAGCCACUACAAACUUACCCAUUAUGAAGAGGAGAACCCAAAUAAUUAAAAAGGAGAAAAGAGUGAGAAAAAUGGAGAGAAAGAUGAGUUAGGGGAAGUAAUUUUCCU
Long non-coding RNA from Telopea speciosissima, 171 nucleotides. RefSeq lists it as uncharacterized. NCBI's taxonomy places the organism in Eukaryota, Viridiplantae, Streptophyta, Magnoliopsida, Proteales, Proteaceae. The transcript has 3 exons. The record is from RefSeq and is a predicted model, not a curated record.